This 111-nucleotide small RNA is filed under the name Chryseobacterium taeanense. RNAcentral describes it as "Flavo-1 RNA". It matches the Rfam family "Flavo-1 RNA". The record is from RNAcentral. Lineage: Bacteria; Pseudomonadati; Bacteroidota; Flavobacteriia; Flavobacteriales; Weeksellaceae.
CCCUAGCCCCGAUUGCAGUGAAAAUCCUUUUUUUGCUGUUGAAAAUCCCUCUCCCGAAGAGAGGGAUUUAGGUGCGGAGAAAAAAGAUUGCAACGGAAAGCGGGAAAUUGC